RNAcentral lists this ribosomal RNA (472 nucleotides) under uncultured bacterium. Its description in RNAcentral is "partial 16S ribosomal RNA". It matches the Rfam family "Bacterial small subunit ribosomal RNA", at positions 28 to 507 of the family's 1533-position model. The record is from RNAcentral.
GACGAACGCUGGCGGCGUGCUUAACACAUGCAAGUCGAACGAUGAACCCGGAGCUUGCUCUGGGGGAUUAGUGGCGAACGGGUGAGUAACACGUGAGUAACCUGCCCUGGACUCUGGGAUAAGCGUUGGAAACGACGUCUAUUACCGGAUAGGACCUUGGAUCGCAUGAUCUGGGGUGGAAAGUUUUUUCGGUCUGGGAUGGACUCGCGGCCUAUCAGCUUGUUGGUGAGGUAAUGGCUCACCAAGGCGUCGACGGGUAGCCGGCCUGAGAGGGUGACCGGCCACACUGGGACUGAGACACGGCCCAGACUCCUACGGGAGGCAGCAGUGGGGAAUAUUGCACAAUGGGCGAAAGCCUGAUGCAGCAACGCCGCGUGCGGGAUGACGGCCUUCGGGUUGUAAACCGCUUUUAGUAGGGAAGAAGGGCUUCGGCUUGACGGUACCUGCAGAAAAAGGACCGGCUAACUACGUG